RNAcentral lists this ribosomal RNA (1089 nucleotides) under Pestalotiopsis neglecta. Its description in RNAcentral is "eukaryotic LSU rRNA". The stretch from base 205 to 358 matches the Rfam family "5.8S ribosomal RNA". Lineage: Eukaryota; Fungi; Ascomycota; Sordariomycetes; Amphisphaeriales; Sporocadaceae. The record is from RNAcentral.
AAAGAUUUAGCCGGGUACUUACUCCCCAACCCAUGUGACUUACCAUUGUUGCCUCGUGUCAGAAGCUGCCCGGUACACCUUACCUUGGAACGGCCUACCCUGUAGCGCCUUACCCUGGAACGGCUUACCCUGUAGCGGCUGCCGGUGGACUACCAAACUCUUGUUAUUUUAUUGUAAUCUGAGCGUCUUAUUUUAAUAAGUCAAAACUUUCAACAACGGAUCUCUUGGUUCUGGCAUCGAUGAAGAACGCAGCGAAAUGCGAUAAGUAAUGUGAAUUGCAGAAUUCAGUGAAUCAUCGAAUCUUUGAACGCACAUUGCGCCCAUUAGUAUUCUAGUGGGCAUGCCUGUUCGAGCGUCAUUUCAACCCUUAAGCCUAGCUUAGUGUUGGGAGCCUACUGCUUUUACUAGCUGUAGCUCCUGAAAUACAACGGCGGAUCUGCGAUAUCCUCUGAGCGUAGUAAUUUUUUUCUCGCUUUUGACUGGAGUUGCAGCGUCUUUAGCCGCUAAACCCCCCAAUUUUUAAUGGUUGACCUCGGAUCAGGUAGGAAUACCCGCUGAACUUAAGCAUAUCAAUAAGCCGGAGGAAGAACAUUAUAGAGUUUUCUAAACUCCCAACCCAUGUGAACUUACCAUUGUUGCCUCGGCAGAAGCUGCCCGGUUACACUUACCUUUGGAACGGCCUACCUGGUACGCCUUACCUGGAAAGGCUUACCUGUAGCGACGGCGGUGGGACUACAAACUCUGUUAUUUUAUUGGAAUCUGAGCGUCUUAUUUAAUAAGUAAAAUUUCAACAAGGAGUCUUUUGGUUCUGGCAUCGAUAAAAAAGCACGAAUGCGAUAAGUAAUGUGAAUUGCAGAAAUUCGAGAAUCAUCCAAUCUUUGAACGCCGCAUUUGCGCCCAUUAAUAUUCCUAUGGGGCAUGCCUGGUUCGAAGCGUCAUUUCAACCCUUUGAGACUAAGCUUAAGUGGUGGGGGAGCAUACUGCUUUUUACAAAGCUGUAGACCUCCGGAAAAUAACAACGGCGGAACCUGCGAAUUUCUCCUGGAACUUGGGGUAGUUUUUUUUCCUUGCUUUUUGGAACUGAAAAUC